AAUUUCUAUCUGAGAGGGUUAGGGUUGAUAAGUUGUCCUCAAGAACUUAUCAUCAUGAGGACAACUUCUAUCAUCGAUAGAAGGGUUUAAAAUAGAAUUGACUUUACUCAUAAAACAAUCUCCACAUUUUUCUCAGAUUCUCCAUUUUCCACAUUGUGCCACAUUUUGUUGCCAUAGAACCAAAUAGCAACAACAAGAACUAAUGCCUUCUUUGUGAAUAUGCACAAUACUUCUAAAAGUCAGUUUUUAAUUGACAUGAUUUAAUACACACUGGAAUGCAGUGGGUUUAAUAAGUCUAACCUGAACAGGGAUCAUUUUAAAAUAUAAAGUCAUGUCACCUCAUUCUUGAUUAACCUUCUGCUCAGAUUUGGGACGUGGUGGAGCAUGGAGACAUUGGCUGCACCCGUGGGGGAGGAUGAGAUGCUCAGGGGGUGUUUUCAGAUGCAGGACUGCUGCAGGACUGCUUUAGGACUGCUUUAGGACUGCUUUACUCCUCCAGUACUGGGUUCAAAACUACAACCAGACAAACCGUGCAGUGUCCAGGCAGUACCAGAAGGAGACGCUCUGCUGAACUGUUGAAGCGUAAAGCUCAGCUGGUUGCCUGCUAAUCUUGAUUUGGAAGUAGAGGCUCGAGGAAAUGGACAAGGAAUACUAGAGCACAGGGAAAGACAACCACGGGUUGUGACCUAUUACAAUCAGCUGCAUGAGGUGGAAGAGAAAAUGCCCUGCAAGCACUUUGAUCUCAACGUCUCUUUUGAAGGAUCCAGCGGUAGAUCAAAUUCUCACACUAUAUCACAUAUUUUACACGACGUCCUUCAGACGGGUGACAAAUUAAAGCAAAUGCACUUUAACAAAAAAAAACAAAGCAUUUAGACUGCUGACCUGAGUAAAUUUAGUAAAAUGAAUUUAUAAAACACUCACAUACAAUCUCUUAAAAUACAUACGUUUUGCAUACAUCACAAUGCAAGGACUGUGUGUGCUCAUCUUCAGGGACUUUUUGUUCGUAUUAUUUUUGUUAAGAUCAAAUGAAUACAUUAUUGUUAAGAUCAAAAUAACACAUUGGAGCAUAAUUACAUCAAAUACACUAUUACAUACGCUCUAGCCCACCAUAUAAUAUAUACAGCUGUACAUUAAUUAAUGCUUUGCUACUGUCCCGGACCAGAAAAGCCUCCAGCAGAUGUAGAAAAGUCAGACAAGAUCAAGUAGUUGUUGUUGUUAUACGUGUACACGACUGUGCAAAACGUUAGAUCGGCAGCAAUAUCGACUACCUUAUUACAAAUUGCAGGGCACAGUUUCACAGCUUUGGGUAGUUCAAAAUAUCUUGUGCCAGUUCCUCUGUGGACUGACACUCUGUACAUUAUCUGAUAGGUACUUUAUUCAUUCCCUUAGGGAGAUUCAAGGUAUGCAUGAGCUCACGUGUUACCUAGAAGAUAGAGGGCGACUGUGCGAAUGAGCAUGCAACAGACAUCCCAAAUCUGCCUAAAAUGCUGGUAUUUACAGAGGGCUCUAGGACCCAGAGACGUCAGGAUGGUGGUUCUUGAUAUCAGUCUACCAACUGGAUUCACCCCAGAAAACUCUGACCUGGAGAUGCUGUCCAAUUCAGUGCAUCGUUACAUCAGUAACUUCCAGAUUGUAGACAACCUGAGUGACAGAGGCUCCCUGAUCAUUCACCUGUUCAAAGUAACAUCACUGUAUUUAUAAUUAUUAUUCUAUAUCAUAUCAUUUUAUGUUAUUCAUAUGCUUUUCUUUUUUUCCAAGAAGCAGGUUUCUCAAUGCUCAGUAAAUAAGUCUUUAUGACGACAGUCAACAAUCUGAGGCAGUUUUAGGCUAUUACACAAAACCAGCUUAUUGGUACCAAAGCCACGGUUCAGAACUCAGACUUGCUAAAUCAGUGUUAGUGUAGUGCAGUGUAGGGCUGCAGCCAGAGUACUGAGGAUAGUUAGCAAGAGAGAUCAUAUUUCUCCUAUGCUGGUUUCUCUUCAUUGGCUUCCUGUGAAAUGUAGAAUAGAAUUCAAAAUCCUUCUUCUGACAUAUAAAGCUCUUAACAACCACUCUCCAUCAUAUCUUAAAGACCUGAUAGUACCAUAUUAUCCUAGCAGAACUCUUCGCUCUCAGACUGCAGGCUUACUUGGAGAAGUGACCUGUAACUUCUCUCCAAAAGUAGAAUGGGAGGCAGAGCCUUCAGUUAUUAGCUCCUCUCCUGUGGAACCAGCUCCCAGUUUGGGUUCUGGAGGCGGACACCCUCUCUA
Molecule: long non-coding RNA, 2249 nt
Organism: Amphiprion ocellaris (clown anemonefish)
Lineage: Eukaryota; Metazoa; Chordata; Actinopteri; Pomacentridae
Exons: 6
Source: RefSeq, a predicted model, not a curated record